GACGAACGCUAGCGGCGUGCUUUAGGCAUGCAAGUGGAACGAUCCAUCUUCGGAUGGAGAGUCGCGAACGGCUGAGUAACACGUAGGAAUCUACCCCUUGGUGGAGAAUACCUCACCGAAAGGUGAGUUAAUACUGCAUAAGAUUUUUAAUGAAAGGGCGUAACUGCCCGCCGAGGGAGGAGCCUGCGGCCCAUCAGCUUGUUGGUAGGGUAAUGGCCUACCAAGGCUAUGACGGGUAGGGGGCGUGAGAGCGUGUUCCCCCAGAAAGGCACUGAGACACGGGCCUUACACCUACGGGUGGCAGCAACCGGGAAUUGUGCGCAAUGGACGAAAGUCUGACGCCGCGACGCCGCGUGAGGGAUGAAGGCCCUUGGGUUGUAAACCUCUUUUGCCAAGUGGGAGACUACUUGGAGAAUAAGCACCGGCUAACUACGUGCCAGCAGCAGCGGUAAUACGUAGGGUGCAAGCGUUGUCCGGAUUUACUGGGCGUAAAGCGUCUCGUAGGCGUCUUGAAAAGUCGUGUUUCAAAUCCCAAGGCUCAACCUUGGAAAGGGGCACGAUACUCUCAGGAUUGAAAGGUUUUGGGGCUACUGGAACUGUCGGUGUAGGGGUGAAAUCCGUUGAUAUCGAUAGGAACUCCAAGGGCGAAGGCAGGUAGCUAGGAACACUUUGACGCUGAUGAACGAAAGCUAGGGGAGCAAAAGGGAUUAGAGAUCCCCGUAGUCCUAGCCGUAAACGAUGCUCGCUAGGGAUGUGUCCUUUUAGGAUGCGUCUCGUAAGCUAACGCGUUAAGCGAGCCGCCUGGGGAGUACGAUCGCAAGAUUAAAACUCAAAGGAAUUGACGGGGACCUGCACAACCAGUGGAGCAUGUGGUUUAAUUCGAGACAAACCGAAGAACCUUACCUGGACUUGACAUUCUGGUGACAGUUCUAGAGAUAGAAUCUGUUCAAUUUAUUGGACCACCAGGACAGGUGUUGCAUGGCUGUCGUCAGCUCGUGCCGUAGGGUGUUCCCUUCAGUGGGGUAACGAGCGCAACCCCUGUUAUAUGUUACAUAUCAUAUAAGACUAUCCGCCUCAGUGGCGGGAGGAAGCGGGGACGACGUCAAGUCAGCAUGACCCUUAUGUCCAGGGCGACACACAUACUACAAUGGAGCCGACAAUGGGUUGCCAAGCGGUAACGCGGAGCUAAUCCCAUCAAACGGCUUCUCAGUGGGGAUUGAGGGCUGCAACUCGCCCUCAUGAACGAGGAAUUGGUAGUAAUCGCGGAUCAGCCAAGCCGCGGUGAAUACGUUCUCAGGUCUUGUACACACCGCCCGUCAAGUCAACGAAGUUGGGGGUACCCGAAUGCCGUCUGUGACGGCAGAAGGUAAAUCCAGCGACGGGG
This 1384-nucleotide ribosomal RNA is filed under the name uncultured bacterium. Its description in RNAcentral is "16S ribosomal RNA". It matches the Rfam family "Bacterial small subunit ribosomal RNA". The record is from RNAcentral.